GAUAACAAGCUUCACACUCGGGAUAAUAUAAUGAAGCAAACAAUUUCACACAAUAAGUAUCACAAUAGCAAGUGAUCAAAAUAAAGCAAUAAACAAAAGUAGCUAUGUCAUAAAAGAGUAAAAUUGUCUUACAAGAACCAAAACAGAAUCUGUUUUGCAUAAAAUAAUGAGUUAAGGUAUUCCAAAAAUUCUGAAAUUUUACCUAUUGAUAAAUAAGAUCACUAGUAAUCAGUAGCAAAAAGAAUCAAUUAAAAAUCUAUUUUUAAACUCCGGAUAUUAACAAAAUAAUAUUUAAACCAAAUCUGCUUUAAUUCAAACUUAAAUUUUCAAACAUGGUCAAAUUUUAUAUCUACAGAAACUACAUAAAAUGUUCGAUCCAAGGAAAAAGGAAUCACCUAAUUCGGAGUUAUAGACUAAUAGAUAUAAAUUUUAUAACUUUGCUCUUUUUAUGGAAAAAAACUAUUACGGGAUUUUUUUUUGAAGCUCACCGAAGUUAGUCGUCGGAGUUGGAGAAGACGACUGGAAGGUGGCUCCGGUGGCGUAGGUGGGCGACAAGGCGGGGGGGGGGGCAGCCGGCGAAGGGAUGCGGCGGGCGCUCUCUAGAGGCGUCACGAGCGGCACUAGGGCGCUGGGGCGAGGCAGGUGCUCCUGGCUCGGUGCUCCUGGGGUGGGUCUCCGGCGAGAUGGGUCGGCGGCGCUAGAGGUGAGGAGAGGGGCGGUUCUUGGGGAAAAUGGAGAGGCGGGUGUGGGGAUCAUUUAUAGGGUGACGGGAGGCGAGGGGAAGGAAAGCUUGAGGAGAUCAGGGAAGAAAUCGGCGCCAUGGUGAGUUCCUGGAAGAAACCGUGCUCUGGAAGGAAAGUGACGAGAGGUAGGAGAAGGAGGAGCAACGGGUUAGAUUGGUUUCGUAUUGAGCCCAGGACAUAUUUCCAAAUAAACACGAUUUGUUUCCUUUUUAUAAAAACAGGAAAGAAAGCUACAAAAGGAAUUAAAUCAUUUCACGAAAAAUACAAGUAUUGUAUAUCAAAAUUCUCAGAAAAAUAUUGCCCACCACGUGGACAAUUUAUUUUUCAUGAAAUAAAAACUUUAUAAAAAAAAUUAAAUCCAAGUUUUGCCUUUAAAAAUUUUUGGCACUAUUUUCUUCUAACUUUUAUUUAUUUUGGGGGUGUCAUGUUACCUCCUAUCUUUCUUGCUUGGCAAGUAUAUUGUCAAGAAAAAGUUUGUGGUUGAAAUCUUGUGCCAAAAAUAAAUUCAAAUAAUGAUACCGAAAGAAAUUCAAAUGCCACCUUGAUUCAAAUUAUUUAUAGUUGAAGAAGUCAUGUUAUCUUCUCUCACUGAUUUUUAAACGGAUGAAUUUGAAUUCAUUGGAAAAGGGAAAAGUCAUUUUAUUCCCUCUCGUUCAAAAGUUUUAAAAAGUUUCAAGUUUCACUCAAGUUUUCAAUCACUCAAACAAACAAAAAAUCAAUCCAAUAAUUAUAUUAACAUUCCAAAAUUUGGGAUGUUACAAAGGGUCGAAAGCACUCCGCGGCUCCUUCUUCAUCGGCGGGUGGUGGGAUGGGUACUUCGAUUCCUGCCGCGCCUCUUCGGACAGCGUUGCUCUCUACUCUGCAUGGAGUGGCCAUUUCUUCGACUCUCGCGGCCCCCGUAAGAGGAGGUCGACCCCCCACAAAGCCGAGAGAUACUAAAGGUAUUGCUCAUGUUGGUACUUAUGUUGGUAUUUAUAUACAUUUUAUUACUCAUGUUGGUAUUUAUGUUAUACUAAAGGUACACGUGACCGCGGGAGAGGUAGGGCGGUGGCUGCCACGCCUUCCUCGCCGCCACCCCAAGCUAAUUCACCUGAGCACAUGACUUAUAGGGUGGAUUCGUCUAAGGUGGAGGAUACACGGUCUCCAUUUCACGAGCCUCAGGUCGACGAGCCUUCGACCCACAAGACUCGUGUCCCAGAGGCUUCAUUCCAGGCGACUUCGGAGAAAAGCAGGGAUGAGGGUACGUCCCGAGAGACCCAGUGGGAUAUCUAGGCUGAUUUGGGUCAGCCUGAGCCAAGUGGCCAUGCUAAUAGCGACGAGGAGCUGGGUGAGGGGGCCACCGUCUACCAGCGUGGUAGUUCGGGGCUCCGGCUCGUGCCGGUGACCCGCGAGGAGAGGUGGUCGAUUAAGCCAAAUGGGGACAAGUAAGUUAAUUUACUCUUAUUUAACCUUUUACCUUCACGUUUUCUCAAAUAUUUAAUGUUUUGGCUUUAAUUUGUCAUACUGCACGGGUUGGAUUGCUGCCAAGGGUGUCCGCAAGCCCAACAUCGUCCUUAGUGUCCUUUGCCGUCAAAACUUCCCGGGGUUUGUUACGUUGCCCGGUCGGGAGCGAGAGGUAGGAAUGACCUGGGAGCACUACUUGGGUGCCCCGGCCCCGACGUAGGUGGAUAUCGACUGUGUUUUGUGCGACACGAGGGCCGACAUGGUGAUCCGACAGUUCUGGGUAAUUUCUCCUUUACACAAUUAUAAAUCAACCAUAACUAGUUAUUGUACGAAUCGGUGUUGUCUCGUUUGCAGACCUACUACACGUGUGAGGAGCGAUACGAGGAGGACGCGACAAAGGUUAUCGAAACCGAAUGUCGCCGCCUACUUCAAAACUUUCGACACGAGGCUCGGGUGCAGGCUGUGCGAGACUAAUAUUCCACGCGGCGUAUUAGGAAGGACAAGGCGAAGUGCCGCAAUUCUAAGAUGGAGAAGGAGCAUUACAUGAAGCUAAUUACAUAUUAUUAACGCCUUGUAGUUAGUUUCCUUGUUUUGAUUCUUACGCGUUGCGCUCAAAUUUCUCUUUAUUAACUUAGGUGCCCCCGAGAUGGUGUGUGGAUAAGAUGGAUUUUUGGAAGGCCUUGGUGGAUUAGUGGUGCUGUGAAACGUGGGAGGCCAGCCACAACAACGCCAAGGAGAGGCGUGGAAAAAUGGUUGGUGUGCCACACCAUCAAGGGAGCGUCAACUUAAUCCAAUUUGGCGAGAACUGGGUAUGUGGUUUGCUUCAUGCCUCAUGCAAUUCAUUCUUAUUGCUAUCUUCAACCCUUUACUAAUACAUUUUUCCUCCCUCUCUCUUUUAGGCGCGUCACAAUAAGACGGAGGUGCCACAUAUGUACGACCUGUAUGCGAUGGCCCAUACUGCCUCGUACAAGAAGGUCAAGGCAUUCUCUGAUUCUGACCUCGAGCAUCCAGAAAACUUCACCAACAUCUCCUCCCACCACAAGCUCGUGAAGUACAGAUAUCACAGGAAGGUGAGGAAAGGGGAGGUUUUUAACCAAAGCGAGGGGCCUAUUGAUCCAGAGUUGGUGACGAUAGCUGACAACGGGAGGCCCCAUGGCUCGAUCGCCAUUGGAGACGGCCUUAUAUGUUGUCCUAGCACUCUCUGGCAGAUAAAGGCACGCCAAACGAGCUCCUGUCCUGAGAUAACACCUCGUCCACGGCCAGUCGAGCUCACCAUCGAGGUUAUUAUAAUGGACUCAACUAUGUUUCCGCAUUAUGUUGUGCAUGGGAACCAAUGUGAUUACAAUUCUAACAAUGAGUUGUGUUGCAGGCUACUAUUCUUAAAGAGAGAUAGGCAAUGCACGCGCUUUUGGCAGAGAAGGAUAAGGAGAUGAAGGAGCUGGAGGAGAGGACGGCUGCAUUGGUGGAGGCGGAGAGGGCACGGUAUGAUGCAUCUAACAGGUCCAUGUACGAGCUCUUCGUGGUAAGUUUCUUCUUCAUAUUAUUUAACAUCUUUCAUUUUAAUACCCGUUUCAUUAAUAACUAAAAAGUUUGACUUGUCGAAACCAAAUGUAUAGUCUAUGUGCGAGUAGACCGGCCACGUCCCUCCGGCGAUGCGAGUCAUUAACAUGGCGGGGACGGUGAGUUUCAUUUCAAUGAAGUGAUCUCAAGAGUGUCAUCAUGCUAACGACGCAUUGCAAACGAUGUUUGGUGGAGAAUAUCUCCCGAAACGCAUCGCACGACCCUUCUACAGUGGAGCCUUCUCGAGGGCACCCUACUCCAGGUGAAACAACCAGAGCCACCGUGCUUCACCGCCGUGAUGACAAUAAUGAUAUGUUAUUUCUAUUGUUUUGCUUAACAACCGCAUAAUGGUCCAAUAUGGUUUAUUAAGCAUACUUAGCUCCAAAAUGACAUAUUUAACCCAAGUUAGCUCCAAAACGACAUAUAGUUAAGUUGGCUUCCACCUAAAUGACAUAAUUAGCUUAGUUAGCUCCAAAAUGACCUAUUUAAUAAAAAAUGACAUAUACUUACCUAACUUUUCUUCUAAAUGACAUAAUAAGGCUAUGUAGGUCCAAAAUGACCUACUCCACCUAACUUAGCUAUUAAAUAGCAUAUAAUUAGCUUAGCUAGCUCCAAAAUGCCUUAAUAAUCAUAGUUGGCUCCAAAAUGACAUAUUUUACCCAAUUUAGUUCUAGAAUGGCCUAUACUUAGCUUGGCUUCCACCUAAAUGACAUAAUUAGCUUAGUUAGCUCCAAAAUGGUCUAUUUAAUAAAAAAUGACCUAUACUUAGCUAAUUAUCCUCCAAAAUGACAUAAUUUGGUCCAAAAAGGCAUAAUUAGAUAAUUUAGUUUGAAGAAGAGGACAAGAGGAGAAGAAAGGGGAAAAUGAAAAGAAGGAAGAAGAAGAAGAAGGAGCCCUCCUUCUUCUUCUCUCCUCCUUCUUCUCCUUCUUAUUCUCCUUCUUAUUCUCUUCUUAUUUUCUUCUUCUUCUCCUCUUCCUUCUCCUUCUCCUCCUCCUCCUUCUUCUUCUUCUUCCUUUUCUUCUCCUUCUUCUUCUCUUCUUGCUUUUUCUCUUUCUUCUUCUACGUAGCUUACUUUCCCCAGCAAAGACAUACUUAGCUAAUUAUCCUCCAAAAUGACAUAAUUAUCCUAGUUAGGGAAAAACAUCAUAACAACCUUGGUUAGCUCAUUAAAAUGACUAAUUUAGCUCCAAAAUGACAUAAUAAGCUCAAAAUGGCAUAAGAACCUUAGUUAGCUCAUGAAUAUUAUAUACUUAGCGUGUUUUCCUCUAAAAUGACAUAAUUAGCCCAUUUAGCUCCAAAAAGACAUACUUAGCUAAUAAUCAUCUAUUAAAUAGUCUAUAAUUAGCUUAGCUAGCUCGAAAAUGCCUUAAUAAUCAUAGUUGGAUCCAAAAUGACAUAUUUUACCCAAGUUAGCUCUAGAAUUGCCUAUACUUAGCUUGGCUUCCACCUAAAUGACAUAAUUAGCUUAGCUACCUCCAAAAUGGACUAUUUAAUAAGAAAUGACCUAUACUUAGCUAAUUAUCCUCCAAAUGACAUAAUAGCUCCAAAAAGGCAUAAUUAGCUAAUUUAGCUCUAAGAAGAGGACAAGAGGAGAAGAAAGAGGAAAAAUGAAAAGAAGGAAGAAGAAGAAGAAGAGAAGAAGAAGAUAAAAAGAAGGAGAAGGAAACGGAGGAGAAGAAGGAGAAGGAGCCCUCCUUCUUAUUCUCUCUUGCUUCCCCUUCUUCUUCUCCUUCUUAUUUUCUUCUACUACUCCUCUUCCUUCUCCUCCUCCUCCUCCUCCUCCUUCUUUUUCUUCUUUUUGUUCUCCUUCUUCUUCUCUUCUUGCUUCUUCUCUAUCUUCUUGUGCGCAGCUUAUUUUCCCCAACAAAGACAUACUUAGCUAAUUAUCCUCCAAAAUGACAUAAUUAUCUUAGUUAGAUAAAAACAUCAUAAGAACCUUGGUUAGCUCAUUAAAAUGACUAAGUUAUCUCCAAAAUGACAUAAUAAGCUCAAAAUGACAUAAGAACCUUGGUUAGGUCAUGAAUAUUAUAUACUUAGCNUCUUUUCCUCUAAAAUGAUAUAAUUAGCCCAUUUAGCUCCAAAAUGUCCUAUUUAAUAAAAAAAGACCAAUACUUACCUAAGUUCUCUUAUAAAUGACAUAAUAAGGCUAUGUAGCUCCAAGAUGACCUAUUCCAACUAACUUAGCUAUUAAAUUGCCUAUAAUUAGCAUAGUUAGCUCCAAAAUGGCUUAAUAAUCAUAGUUGGCUCCAAAAUGACAUAUUUUACCCAAGCUAGAUCUAGAAUGGCCUAUCCUUAGCUUGUCUUCCACCUAAAUGACAAAAUUAGCUUUGUUAGCUCGAAAAUGACCUAUAAAAAAUGAUCUAUACUUACCUAAGUUCUCUUCUAAAUGACAUAAUAAGGCUAUGUAGCUCCAAGAUGACCUAUUCCACCAAACUUAGCUAUUAAAUGGCCUAUAAUUAGCUUAUCUAGCUCCAAAAUUCCUUAAUAAUCAUAGUUGGUUUCAAAAUGACAUAUUUUACCAAGUUAGCUCUAGAAUGGACUAUACUUAGGUGAGCUUCCACCUAAAUGACAUAAUUAGCUUAGUUAGCUCCAAAAUGGCCUAUUUAAUAAGAAAUGACCUAUACUAAGAUAAUUAUCCUCCAAAAUGACAUAUUUAGAUCGAAAAAGGCAUAAUUAGCUAAUUUAGCUGGAAGAAGAGGACAAGAGGAGAAGAUAGAGGAAAAAUGAAAAGAAGGAAGAAGAAGAAGAGAAGAAGAAGGAGAAGGAGAAGAAGGAGAAGAAGGAGCCCUCCUUCUUCUUCUCUCCUCCUUCUUCUCCUUCCUCUUCUCCUUCUUAUUCUCUUCUUCUUUUCUUCUUCUUCUCCUCUUCCUUCUCCUUCUCCUCCUCCUCCUCCUCCUUCUUCUUCUUUUUCUUCUCCUUCUUCUUCCCUUCUUGGUUCUUCUCUUUCUUCUUCUACGUAGCUUAUUUUCCCCAACAAAGACAUACUUAGCUAAUUAUCCUUCAAAAUGACAUAAUUAGCUUAUUUAGGUAAAAACAUCAUAAGAACCUUGGUUAGCUCAUUAAAAUGACUAAUUUAGCUCCAAACUGACGUAAUAAGCUCAAAAUGGCAUAAGAACCGUGGUUAGCUCAUGAAAAUUAUGUACUUAGCUUGUAUUCCUCUAAAAUGACAUAAUUAUUGCAUUUAGCUCCAAAAACACAUACUUAGGUAAUAAUCAGUUAUUAAAUAGCCUAUAAUUAGCUUAGCUAUCUCCAAAAUGCCUUAAUAAUCAUAGUUGGCUCCAAAAUGACAUAUUUUACCCAAGUUAGCUCUAGAAUGGCCUAUACUUUGCUUGGCUUCCACCUAAAUGACAUAAUUAGCAUAGUUAGCUCGAAAAUGGCCUAUUUAAUAAGAAAUGACCUAUACUUAGCUACUUAUCCUCCAAAAUAACAUAAUUAGCUUCAAAAAGGCAUUAUUAGCUAAUUUAGCUCGAAGAAGAGGACAAGAGGAGAAGAAAGAGGAAAAAUGAAAAGAAGGAAGAAGAAGAAGAAGAGAAGAGAAGAAGAAGAGAAGAAGAAGGAGAAGGAGAAGGAGGACAAGAAGGAGAAGGAGCCCUCCUUCUUAUUCUCUCCUCCUUCUUCUCCUUCUUAUUUUCUUCUUCUUCUCCUAUUCCUUCUCCUUCUCCUUCUCCUUCUUCUUCUUCUUCUUCUUCUUCUUUUUCUUCUCCUUCUUCUUCUCUUCUUGCUUCUUCUCUUUCUUGUUCUAUGUAGCUUAUUUUCCCCAAGAAAGAUAUACUUAGCUAAUUAUCCUCCAAAAUAAAAUAAUUAGCUUAGUUAGGUACAAACAUCAAAAGAACCUUGGUUAGCUCAUUAAAAUGACUAAUUUAGCUUCAGAAUGACAUAACAGGCUCAAAAUGGCAUAAGAACCUUGGUUAGUUCAUGAAUAUUAUAUACUUAGCUUGUUUUCCUCUAAAAUGACAUAACUAGCCCAUUUAGCUCACAAAUGGCCUAUUUAAUAAAAAAUGACCUAUACUUACCUAAGUUCUCUUCUAAAUGACAUAAUAAGGCUAUGUAGCUCCAAGAUGAUCUAUUAUACCAAACUUAGCUAUUAAAUGACCAAUAAUUAGCUUAGUUAGCUCCAAAAUGGCUUAAUAAUCAUAGUUGGCUCCAAAAUGACAUAUUUUUACCCAAGUUAGCUCUAGAAUGGCCUAUACUUAGUUUGGCUUCCAACUAAAUGACAUAAUUAGCUUAGUUAGCUUCGAAAUGACAUAUUUAAUAAAAAAUGACCUAUACUUACCUAAGUUCUCUUCUAAAUGACAUAAUAAGGCUAUGUAGCUCCAAGAUGAUCUAUUCCACCUAACUUAGCUAUUAAAUGGCCUAUAAUUAGCUUAGCUAGCUCCAAAAUGCCUUAAUAAUCAUAGUUGGCUCCAAAAUGACAUGUUUUAUCCAAAUUAGCUCUAGAAUGGCCUAUACUUAGGUAAGUUAUCUCCGAAAUGACAUAAUAAGGCUAUGUAGCUCCAAGAUGACCUAUUCCACCUAACUUAGCUAUUAAAUGGCCUAUUAUUAGCUUAUCUAGAUCCAAAAUGGUUUAAUAAGCAUAGUUGGCCCCAAAAUGACAUAUUUUUCCCAAAGUAGCUCCAAAAUGACAUAUAGUUAGCUAAGUUCUCCCCUAAAUGACAUAAUAAGGCUAUGUAGCUCCAAGAUGACUUAUUUCCCAAAACUUAGCUAUUAAAUGGCCUAUACUUAGCUAAGUUCUCUCUGAAAUGACCUAUACUUCUCUUCUUCAUCUAGUCUUUUUCUUCUAACUUUCUUAUUUGCCAUUUUGCAUAUUACAUUCACUUCACGGGAACUUGGAUUAUAUUCAUGGAGUGCUUGAAUAUGGUUGAUUCUACCAUGGCUUCAUGGAAGCUUGGAUUGAAACUAUUGUAGUAUAUGGAUAUAUAUGAAACUUUGUAUGCAUGGAUGAAACUAGUGUAAUAUAUGGUUUGCUACGAAUGCAACUUGCAUAAUAUGUAUGUAUUAUGGAUGAAAGUUAUUUUAUUAUGGUUAUGAGUAUGGAAACAAAAUUAUUUCUGUCAAAUAUAUAUAUAUAUAUAUAUAUCCUGAUUAUUGUGAAAAUUAUUCCUGAUUUGUGUGAAAAUUUCUGGAUAUUAUAGAAAAUAAAAUAAAAAGGGUUGUUUUGAGACUUUGCCAUCCGCCCACCGACAGCAAAGGGCUUGCAACAAACGGCAAAGGCUGAAACAUGCCUGGACUGAAACAUGUUGGGGUGCCCCCUUUGUCGUCGGCCUCACUCAUGGCUGACGGCAAAGGGGGAGGGAAGAAAACAAAGGUGCAGGGAGAGAGGGGCUGGGUGCCCCCCUUUGCCCUCGGCCUCAAACAUGGCUGACGGCAUGGGGGGAGGAAAUACGGCAAAGGGGGGUAGGGCAGACGACAAAGCGGGGGUGGGCCGAGCAAGCUGUCGUUAGCACUUAACCAAAGCGCUUGCGGAUCUGCCGUCCCAUUUUGUUUGCCGUCAGCCCCCCCCCCAUGGCAAAGAUUCUUUGACAUCCACCUUCCAAAGGCAGACGGCAAAGAACCUCUUCACCGGAUAAAUCUUUGUCAUCUAGUUUGUCGUCCGCUGACGGACGGGAAAGGCUUUGCCAUCCGGGGUGCCCCCCUUUGCCUUCUGCCAUGGCGGACGGCAAAGUUUCUGAUCCCUGUACUGCACAUGACAUGCAAGACCAUCGUCAUCCAAUAAAAGUCUAAUCAGUCUAGUCACAUGGAUCUAGCAAUUAACCAUGCAGUAACUAAACAUAACACACAUAGCAAUCAAUAGAAAGGUGCAUAUUACCUCACGCGGACCAGCCAACAUGAAAAAAUGAGAAAAGUUUUCUUAGAGAACCUCAUUUAUAAGGAUUUAUCCCAGGGCAAAAGGAUUUGUUGCUAACUAAUGAACAUGUUUAUCUAGAAAGUUAGCACCAUUGUAUGAAGUAUCUAGAAAUUGUGCAGAGAUAAGCUGAUCAAACAAAUUCCUUUAUAACAUAUAAUUACAUGAGCGAACAUAGUUAGCAAUCCCUUGACCUCCCAAUGCAUUUUCUACCGAGGAUCCUUCGUAUUCAAAUAGAAGGAUCGAAUUGUUGAUGGCUAAGUUGCACCUCUCCAUUGGGGACUGCGAGAGGUGAAAUUCGGGAGCUACAAUGACGAACCUAGGCAUGUACUUGCGAGAGGUAAAUUUAAACAAAUUUGCAUUCAGUAUAUAAGCAAGAAAUCAAUGAAAAACUUUUCAAAUAGAAGAGUAAUGGUAGGCUAAUAGGAACUCACUCCUAGAUUUUGUACCAAACAGAAGAUCCAGUAAUGUUGUGGAAUUGUCAACGGUUAUGGCUCCUUCAGUAUGGUCAACCAAGAUUAAAAAAUCAGUUUCCACAUUAGACAAAGAAGUCAAGCACCUUUUGGUACAAAAGGAAACAUGCUACAUUUAAGUUAAUUCAACACAUCCAAAAGUAAGGAAAGGAAGAUACUUACUAAUUCUUGUACAUCUACACAUGAUAGAAGGCCACAACUCUGAAAUAAGUCAACCCGUUUGACCAAUGUUCAAUGCAAAUUAAAAAGUUUCAAGUUGUAACUACUCUCAACAAAUCUGCUAUCAGUCCCUCCAUAUUUACACAUAAAAACACUAAUUAAGGAUGGACACUUUCCAACAUAUUUUAUCCGAACAGCUAGCUGCUAAGCUCUCAACAGUCGAAUAAGUGUUGGAAAAUCAAUGGCCAUAGCGUCCGGCAAAGGAUGACCGCACAUGGGAAGGAUGGAGGGAGGGAAAGGAGAAAAGAUUACCCCAACAUUUGCUCAGCUCUGUCCUCCCAUAUCCACUAGCCUCCUCAAGCACCUCAGGGAUAGAUCCCCUUCUUCCGUUGCUCGCAUGUGACACCACCUAACUCCUCCCUAUGUCUCUCAAUCUCAUCGGUAGCUGGG
Molecule: long non-coding RNA, 10671 nt
Filed under: Hordeum vulgare
Lineage: Eukaryota; Viridiplantae; Streptophyta; Magnoliopsida; Poales; Poaceae
Description: long non-coding RNA (HVUL_LNC007525)
Source: RNAcentral